This is a non-coding RNA of Podarcis lilfordi (Lilford's wall lizard), 195 nucleotides long. The record is from the annotation of a GenBank genome assembly. Lineage: Eukaryota; Metazoa; Chordata; Lepidosauria; Squamata; Lacertidae.
AGGAAACAAAGCAUGAUCCCUGGCUUAGCAUUUCCACCCGAAAUGAGGAUUGGGCUUUGUUUUGUACCCAACAAACCAUGAACUCUAGCCAAUGUUUGCUCUUGGCUUACUGAUCAGGGUUUGUUGGGUGCAAAACAAUCCACUAUCUCUGUUUUGGGUGUAAAUGCUAAGUCCACGGAUCAUGUUUUGUUUCCU